GCCGAAGUGGCGGAACUGGUAGACGCGUGGCACUCAAAAUGCCAUGGGAGCAAUCCCGUGAGAGUUCAAGUCUCUCCUUCGGCA
RNAcentral lists this transfer RNA (84 nucleotides) under Candidatus Pacearchaeota archaeon. RNAcentral describes it as "tRNA-Leu". It matches the Rfam family "tRNA". From Rfam's summary of the family: Transfer RNA (tRNA) molecules are approximately 80 nucleotides in length. RNAcentral also lists the same sequence under 3 other names. Lineage: Archaea; Nanobdellati. The record is from RNAcentral.